Molecule: ribosomal RNA, 120 nt
Filed under: Microcebus murinus (gray mouse lemur)
Lineage: Eukaryota; Metazoa; Chordata; Mammalia; Primates; Cheirogaleidae
Source: RNAcentral
GUCUACGGCCACACCACCCUGAAUGCGCCUGAUCUCGUCUGAUCUCGGAAGCUAAGCAGGGUCGGGCCUGGUUAGUACUUGGAUGGGAGCUAAAUGAUCAAUACUUGUUUUUUGUAAACC